AUACUUAACUGGCAGGGGAGAUACCAUGAUCAUGAAGGUGGUUUUACCUGGGUAAGGCUUAUCCAUUGCACUCUGGAUGUGCUGACCCUUGCAAUUUCUCCAAAUGUGGAAAUGACUGCAUAAUUUGUGAUAGUGGGGGACUGCAUUCAUGUUCUCCCCUA
RNAcentral lists this small nuclear RNA (161 nucleotides) under Castor canadensis (American beaver). RNAcentral's name for it is "U1 spliceosomal RNA (ENSCCNG00000001941.1)". It matches the Rfam family "U1 spliceosomal RNA". From Rfam's summary of the family: U1 is a small nuclear RNA (snRNA) component of the spliceosome (involved in pre-mRNA splicing). Its 5' end forms complementary base pairs with the 5' splice junction, thus defining the 5' donor site of an intron. The record is from Rfam by way of RNAcentral. Lineage: Eukaryota; Metazoa; Chordata; Mammalia; Rodentia; Castoridae.